Molecule: ribosomal RNA, 4083 nt
Filed under: uncultured bacterium
Lineage: Bacteria
Description: bacterial LSU rRNA
Rfam family: Bacterial large subunit ribosomal RNA (bases 2122-4083)
Source: RNAcentral
AGUGAACGCUGGCGGCGUGCCUAACACAUGCAAGUUGAGCGGAGUUUUGCAGAGUAUCGCAGAAUUUAGCGGCAAACGGGUGAGUAACACGUGGGAAACCUCCCUCAAAAUGCGGAAUAUCUCCGAGAAAUCGGAGUCAAUACCGCAUUAGACAACAGAUUGGCAUCAAUCAGCGGUCAUAGCAGUAAUGCGUUUUGAGAUGGUCCUGCGAUGACGGGUAUCCGGCCUGAAAGGGUGCCACCAAGGCUAAGACGGGUAUCCGGCCUGAAUGGGUGAACGGACACACUGGAACUGAGACACGGUCCAGACUCCUACGGGAGGCAGCAGUGGGGAAUUUUGGACAAUGGGGGAAACCCUGAUCCAGCGACGCCGCGUGGAGGACGAAGGUCUUCGGAUUGUAAACUCCUUUUAGAGGGGAAGAAUAAAUUGACGGUAGCCUCAGAAAAAGCCACGGCUAACUUCGUGCCAGCAGCCGCGGUAAUACGAAGGUGGCGAGCGUUACUCGGAAUUACUAGGCGUAAAGCGUAUGUAGGCGGUCAGAUAAGUCUCCAGUGAAAUUUCCCGGCUCAACCGGGACAGGCCUGGGGAUACUGUUUGGCUUGAGUGUGGCAGGGGUAGACGGAAUUCCUGGUGUAGCGGUGAAAUGCGUAGAUAUCAGGAGGAACACCGAUGGCGAAAGCAGUCUACUGGGCCAAUACUGACGCUAAUGUACGAAAGCUAGGGUAGCAAACAGGAUAAACCGGGGCUGGUAGUCCUAGCUGUAAACGAUGUUCACUAGAUGCGGGAGGUAUCGACCCCUCCGCGUCGACGCUAACGCAUUAAGUGAACCGCCUGGGGAGUACGGCCGCAAGGUUGAAACUCAAAGGAAUUGACGGGGGCCCGCACAAGCGGUGGAGUAUGUGGUUUAAUUCGACGCAACGCGAAAAACCUUACCUGGGCUUGAACUGCUAAUGGUAAAAACCGGAAACGGCAAUGACCCGCAAGGGAGUUAGCAGAGGUGCUGCAGGGCUGUCGUCAGCUCGUGUCGUGAGAUGUUGGGUUAAGUCCCGCAACGAGCGCAACCCUUAUCCCAUGUUACCCGUAGCAAUACGGGGUCUCUCUUGAAACUGCCAUUGAUAAAAUGGAGGAAGGUGGGGACGACGUCAAGUCAUCAUGGCCUUUAUGUCCAGGGCUACACACGUACUACAAUGGUCGGUACAGAGGCCAGCGGUACCGUAAGGUGGAGCAAAUCCCUAAAAGCCGGCCUCAGUUCAGAUUGUGGGCUGCAAUUCGCCCACAUGAAGUAGGAAUCGCUAGUAAUCGCAGAUCAGCAGGCUGCGGUGAAUACGUUCCCGGGCCUUGUACACACCGCCCGUCACACCACGAAAGUCUGUCAUAACAGAAGUCGUUGUGCUAACCGCAAGGAGGCAGGCGCCUAAGUUAUGGUAGGUGAUUGGGGUGAAGUCGUAACAAGGUAGCCGUACGAGAACGUGCGGCUGGAUCACCUCCUUUAUAAGGAGUAAACAUACGUUUCAAACUAUUUUAGGUUUGAACGGGAUGUUAACGGUCGUCCUUUAAAUUACUCAUAAUUGUCUUACGUUUAACCCGUGGGGCGUUUCUCCACGUGUUAGCAACUCCACGUAGGCCCAUUAGCACGUUAUAAAAUUUGACGGUGAUAGCGGCAUUUGUGAACGGGGAUAUAGCUCAGCUGGGAGAGCGCCUGCUUUGCAAGCAGGAGGUCGUCGGUUCAAACCCGUCUAUCUCCAUUUUACUUUGUCUUUUUUAAGUUUAUACCGCGUUGGAAACUUGGUCAUUUGCCGUAAUGUGUAAAAGUUUCUCGUUUUUUUAUUUAAACUUAAAACAUUUUGUAAAAUUCAAAAAGAUUUUUUCGGAUUUUUAUCCGUUAAAUAUAGAAACAAUAGUUCGUUGACAACUUAAUAGUAGAAAGUUGUUUCUAAUAGAGAAAACAGGUAAAUCAAGCGUCUUCAUUUAAUAUUAUUGUUGCGGGCUUGACCCGCAAGUUUUCGAUAUUAUUUGAGAACAACACAAUUAGCGAUUAAAAAUUAGAAAAAUGUCCGUUAUUUAAACGUUUGCUGCAAAACGGCGGAGGCCGUAGUAAUAGCAAGCGGGAUUAGAUAAUGUGACCAAGCUACUAAGUGCAUAUGACGAAUGCCUUGGCUAAGACUGUCGAUGAAGGACGUGGUAAGCUGCGUUAAGCUUCGGGGAGGUGCAAACAACCUUUGAUCCGGAGAUAUCCGAAUGGGGUAACCCUCCAUAUAGUAAUAUAUGGAAUCCGAAAGGAAGGCAACCCAGGGAAGUGAAACAUCUCAGUACCUGGAGGAAAAGAAAUCAACCGAGAUACCGGAAGUAGUGGCGAGCGAAACCGGUAAUAGCCCAAACCGUUGUGUUUACACAGCGGGGUUGCAGGACCGCGUAAGUAGAGUUACCAAUCAAGAAGAUAAUUGAACGGUUUGGAAAAUCCGACCACAGAAGGUGAAAGUCCUGUAAGUGAAAUUUUCUUGACUCGAAGCGGUAUCCUAAGUACCGUCGGACACGUGAAAUCCGGCGGGAAUCCGGGGGGACCACGCUCCAAGGCUAAAUACAAGUCCUAGACCGAUAGUGAACUAGUACCGUGAGGGAAAGGCGAAAAGAACCGCGGGAGCGGAGUGAAAUAGAACCUGAAAUCGUAUGCAUACAAGCAGUUCGAGGCUUAUGGCGCAAGGGCAACUGAGCGCAAUGGCUGAGAGCGUGCCUGUUGAAGAAUGAUCCGGCGAGUUAUUGGUAGGUGCAAGGAUAAUUAUUAUGUUAACCGCAUAUUAAGCAUCCGUAGCGAAAGCAAGUCUUAACGGGCGAAUAGUACCUAUCAUUAGACCCGAAGCCAAGUGAUCUAUGCCUGGACAGAGUGAAGUCCCUUUAACCGGGGACGGAGGCUCGAAGCGUCGACCGUUGAAAAGGUCUUGCAUGAGCUGGGUAUAGGGGUGAAAGGCCAAUCUAACUUGGUGAUAGCUGGUUCUCCUCGAAAUAGGCGGGCGGCUAGCCUUGAGCGUUAAACCGAAGAGGUAGAGCACUGGAUAGUUGAGCGGGUGUAACCCACUUUGCGAUGCUAACCAAACUCCGAAUUCUCCGGCGUAUUUCUCAGGAGUCAGUACGUGUGGGAUAAGCUUCACGUGCAAAAGGGAAACAGCCCAGACCAUCAAAUACGGUCCCAAAAUAUAUGCUAAGUGGUAAAGGAUGUGGAAUUUCUUAGACAGCUAGGAGGUUGGCUUAGAAGCGGCCACCCUUUAAAGAGUGCGUAACAGCUCACUGGUCAAGUGAUUCUGCGCCGAAAACACCCGGGGCUCAAGCAUAUUACCGAAUUUAUGGACCCUACGAGCAAUCGUAGAGUGGUAGAGGAGCGUUCCCACUACAUUGAAGGUAUACCGUAAGGAGUACUGGAGUUGUGGGAAGCGAGGAUGUCGGAAUAAGUAGCGAUAAGAAGAGUGAAAAUCUGUUCCGCCGAAAACCUAAGGUUUCCUUGAGUAAAGUUCGUCUGCUCAGGGUCAGUCGAUCCUAAGCCGAGAGCGAAAGCUGUAGGCGAUGGGUAUCAGGUUAAUAUUCCUGAACUAUAUUGUUGCCCAAAUGUGUUUGGUGCGCUUUUGAGUAGGUCAUCAUCCGAUUGGUUGUGGAUGUUGCUCCGCAAGGGGGAGGACGGCGGGUAACCGCUGGAACUGACUGUAUCGGGAGCCAAGAAAAGCCAAAUGCCUAUGGUUACAGUAUAAACGUACCGCAAACCGACACAGGUAGGUGGGGUGAAAAUCCUAAGGCGCGCGAGAUAACGUUCGUUUAGGAACUCGGCAUAUUAGCCCCGUAACUUCGGGAUAAGGGGUGCCCAUAGCAAUAUGGGUCGCAGUGAAAUGGACCUCGUGACUGUUUUUUACGUACACAGAACUCUGCUGAAAUCACAAGAUGAUGUAUAGGGUCUGACGCCUGCCCGGUGCUGGAAGGUCAAGUGGAGGGGUUAGCCGCAAGGCGAAGCUCUGAUAUUAAGCCCCAGUAAACGGCGGCCGUAACUWWAACKGYUCKUAGUAGGGAAAUUCCUUGUCGGGUAAGGCGGAUUCUGCAGAU